GACUCAAACCCCAGGAUCAAGUACUAAGAAAACAGCCAGAGAGAGACUUUUCCAAUCACCUCCCACAACUGGAGUGAAGAAUCAGGAUACAGUGGACAAAAUAAGACAUGAAGUGUAAGGAUGUUGUUUCAGGCUGCACACGUGUCCCAGAGAAGAAGAAACCAAGCAUCGUGAUAGAACUCUGUUGAGCCAGGCAAAGUAUGAAUGGUCUGAUCUUCCUCCAUCAUGGAAAGAAACUUAUACUGAUUCAUCAAGAAGCAGGGAUAGAAGCCUGUUUAUAUUGUUAUUUAUUUUAGAGACUAUAAAAGUGACUAACCAAAAGAACCAAAACAGGGAUGGUUGGGAAAAACGUGGUUAUCUUUGGGCAGUGAGGCCACCUUGACUGGAAGACUGCCCAAGAGUGAAGGUGACAAAGGAACCAAGAUCAGGAGACCAAGAAAAGAGGACAAUCCAGAUCCAACAAUAUCGCUAGAGUCCCUUGGUCAAGCUGAAUAUGGAAAUGAGCUUUUCCCUAUGUAAGCCAAUAAAGUCUGCUUUUGAGUUGGG
Homo sapiens (human) is the source of this 546-nucleotide long non-coding RNA. RefSeq lists it as uncharacterized. NCBI's taxonomy places the organism in Eukaryota, Metazoa, Chordata, Mammalia, Primates, Hominidae. The transcript is spliced from 2 exons. The record is from RefSeq and is a predicted model, not a curated record.